Molecule: ribosomal RNA, 616 nt
Filed under: Drosophila austrosaltans
Lineage: Eukaryota; Metazoa; Arthropoda; Insecta; Diptera; Drosophilidae
Description: partial 16S ribosomal RNA
Rfam family: Bacterial large subunit ribosomal RNA
Source: RNAcentral
UUAAAGUCUAACCUGCCCACUGAAUUUUUAAAUGGCCGCAGUAUCCUAACUGUGCAAAGGUAGCAUAAUCAUUAGUCUUUUAAUUGAAGGCUGGAAUGAAUGGUUGGACGAGAUAUUAACUGUUUCAUUUAAAAUUUUAUUAGAAUUUUAUUUUUUAGUCAAAAAGCUAAAAUUUAUUUAAAAGACGAGAAGACCCUAUAAAUCUUUAUAUUUUAUUUAUUUUAAUUAUAAAGAUUAUUUUUAUUAUAAUAAAUUAAAAUAUUUUAUUGGGGUGAUAAUAAAAUUUAAAAAACUUUUAUUUUUUAAACCAUUAAUUUAUGAAUAAUUGAUCCAUUAAUAAUGAUUAAAAAUUUAAGUUACUUUAGGGAUAACAGCGUAAUUUUUUUGGAGAGUUCUUAUCGAUAAAAAAGAUUGCGACCUCGAUGUUGGAUUAAGAUAUAAUUUUGGGUGUAGCCGUUCAAAUUUUAAGUCUGUUCGACUUUUAAAUUCUUACAUGAUCUGAGUUCAAACCGGCGUAAGCCAGGUUGGUUUCUAUCUUUAAAAAAUUAUAAUAUUUUAGUACGAAAGGACCAAAUAUUAGAAUAAUAAAUUUUUAAAAAGAAUAUUAUUAAUAAUA